GUGCAAGGGGGCCUCUCUAAAGACUCCUCCAUGGAUCUGUACCUCCUCCUUCUGUACCUAGCCCAGAUAUUGUGGGGCAUAACUGUGUUGCCUGGCAAGUUAACAGCAUUUUUGCAGCUAUGCUGCCAGUCUUGAAGGUGGCAGAAUGGAGAGAGGAAAAGAACUUCCAUCCUUAAUGAUGCUGCUGAUCUGCUGAUUCAGCUCUGUCCUUGCCCACCUACCUCUCAAAUUAUUGUUUUGUGAGAUUACUAAAUUCCUUUCUGUUUAAAACCACUUUUAAUGGAGGUAUUCUGUUACUUGUAACUGAAAGCAACUGGACUGAAACAUUACUACAUUAUGCUGCCUCCCAGAAAAUUUAAUUAUUAAAACCUGGGGUUUUGAGAUUUCAUUUAAAAAUUUUAUUGGAGUAUGCUGCUGCUGCUGCUGCUAAGUCGCUUCAGUCGUGUCCGACUCUGUGUGACCCCAGAGAUGGCAGCCCACCAGGCUACCCCAUCCCUGGGAUUCUCCAGGCAAGAACACUGGAGUGGGUUGCCAUUUCCUUCUCCAAUGCAUGAAAGUAAAGAGUGUAAGUGAAGUCAUUCAGUUGUGUCCGACUCCUAGCAACCCCAUGGAUUACAGCCUACCAGGCUCCUCUGUCCAUGGGAUUUGCCAGGCAAGAGUACUGGAGUGGGUUGCCAUUGCCUUAUCCGUUAUUGGAGUAUAGUUGAUUUAUAAUAUUGUAUUAGUUGCAGGUAUACAGCAAAGUGAACCUGUUACACAUAUACAUAUAUCCACUCUUUUUGACACUGUAUUUUAAAAAGAACUAAGAAAUCUUGAGAGAAGAAUCAGAGCAUAACUGUCAUAAAUAAUCAUGAGAUUCCUGCUUGAUGUUUUCUCAGUUAUUUGUCAAUUUCCAUUUGUAUUCAGCUUUUAGUGAAUUACAAUGUUCCAUAUAUACUAGCUGGGAAGUUUUUAAACUUACUUAACAGGAAAAAGACUUGGAUGGUUGAAGAUAGGUAGGUAGGUAGAUCAGUUCACUCAGUCAUAUCCGACUCUUUGUGACCCAUGAACCACAGCACACCAGGCCUCGCUGACCAUCACCAACUCCCAGAGUUUAUCCAAACUCUUGUCCAUUGAGUUGGUGAUGCAAUCCAACCAUUUCAUCCUCUGUUGUCCCCUUCUCUUCCUGCCUUCAAUCUUUUCCAGCAUCAGGAUCUUUUCAAAUGAGUCAGCUCUUCGCAUCAGGUGGCCAAAAUACCAGAGUUUCAGCUUCAACAUCAGUCCUUGCAAUGAACACCCAGGAUUGAUUUCCUUU
This is a long non-coding RNA of Bos taurus (domestic cattle), 1294 nucleotides long. The record is from Ensembl. NCBI's taxonomy places the organism in Eukaryota, Metazoa, Chordata, Mammalia, Artiodactyla, Bovidae.